Molecule: long non-coding RNA, 559 nt
Filed under: Zonotrichia albicollis (white-throated sparrow)
Lineage: Eukaryota; Metazoa; Chordata; Aves; Passeriformes; Passerellidae
Description: lncRNA (ENSZALG00000001996.1)
Source: RNAcentral
CUCUAAAAUCCCAUUAUUUUCCCCAUUAUUUCCCCAUUAUUUUCUCGGAUAUUUUCCCCAUUAUUUUCUCCCAUUCUUUUUCUCUAAAAUCCCAUUAUUUUCCCCAUUAUUUCCCCAUUAUUUUCCCAUUAUUUUGCUCGGCAUUUUCCUCUAAAAUCCCAUUAUUUCCCCAUUAUUUCCCCAUUAUUUUCUCUGAUAUUUUCCCCAUUAUUUUCCCCCAUUCUUUUUCUCCAAAAUCCCAUUACUUUCCCCAUUAUUUUUCCUCAUUAUCCCCCAUUAUUUUCCCCCAUUCUUUUUCUCCAAAAUCCCAUUAUUUUCCCCAUUAUUUUCUCUGAUAUUUUCCCCCAUUCUUUUUCUCUAAAAUCCCAUUAUUUUCCCCAUUAUUUCCCCAUUAUUUUCCCCAUUAUUUUCUCUGAUGUUUCCCCCAUUAUUUCCCUCAUUAUGCCCCAUUAUUUUUCCUCAUUAUCCCCCAUUACUUUUCUCCAAAAUCCCAUUUUUCCCCCAUUUUUUUCCUCUAAAACCCUAUUUUUUUUUUCCCCUGAAACCCUCUCAUUUCUCU